Rattus norvegicus (Norway rat) is the source of this 2241-nucleotide non-coding RNA. Lineage: Eukaryota; Metazoa; Chordata; Mammalia; Rodentia; Muridae. The record is from RefSeq and is a predicted model, not a curated record.
CAUGCAUCAUUCCAAGCAACUGCUGGCCAUUCCAAGCUUCUCACUUCCUGGGAUCCUACUCUUCCAGGUACUUUUGACUCCCAGGAUAUGAAACCUCAGUUUAAGUAAAGAAACGUAAAACAAAGACAACAACAAAAACAGGCCACCAGUUGCAAGUGGCUCCAAGAUGUGGGGACUGUUCUGAUGAUCACUACCUGUUGUCACCCAUCCCCUGACUAAGCAAAGGGGUCCUAAUUGCUGAGAUUUUUAAAUCUCUUUGAUCCCAUCUUUCUACAGACAUCUUCCUACAAUAAGCGUUCACCCUCGGCCUCAGAUUUCGGAUGUUGGAGGAUGGCCCAAAGAGAGUUUGACCAGAGGAGGGAGCCCAGCUGCUAAGACCAAGAUCGUUAAAAAUCUCCCAAGAACUGUAGUUUGCUCUGAGAGCUCUCCCUCAACUCUGCAUAAACCUGAACUUAGAGAUCUAUCAUCAGACCUCAGAGGUUUACAGGGGAAAGGUGAGACAUCUUUCAAGGAGAAAUCAAUCCCCCUGUACCCUGGCUAUUCUCCAGCGUGAAGCGGCCAGGAAGUAUCUGUGAUAAAGUCAAGGCGGACCCGCAUCAAAAGGAUCAGACGCAGGAAGGCUUGAACAAGUGCAAGCCACAUUUGGACCCAGUUAUGAAAACGCGCCCAGGCUGACUCGUCUCGCUGUUUACUUUCAUCUCCGGACUUUGUGAGGUGUGCAAAACCUCGGGAAGGUACCAGUGUGAUUCAUACCCAGGUUCUCUCAAUGAGACCUUCAAGGUUGUAAAACUACAUCCACCUUUAAUGCUAGACGUCGGCUUGCUCAUUCUAACUGUAAAAGACUAAAGACUUCUCAAUGUGUGCUAAGGCAAGAUUUCCGGCCAUAGAUUAUAGCAGUGGGGAGAGAGAGCAGGACAGGGAGCAGGUUUCCAUUUGGUUGCUAAGGGAGGAAAUAUUCUCCUGCAAACUGGAUCUCUUCACUAUAUCCACCUAACUUCCUGCAUCCCAUAACUGAAGCUCAGAGAAUAUGAAGCUCCCCCUCUGGUUUCUUGUAGCAAAGAAAGCUGGAUGCAGGCAGACUGGAUGUGCUUGCUGGCGACUUCAAACUCGAUCAGUUAGCUCAGGCUGGUUUGGGAUGGCAACACUGACAGGACUCCGAGUGGGAUUUUAAACAGGCUUCGGCACAUGAGCUCUUGCCCAAUCUUCAUCCAAAACUCAGUUACUCAUCUUGGUUGAAGGGUGCCAAGGGCCCCAAAGAGGAGCCUACACACUGCAGAGGAAGCAGUACACAUCCUGAGAAGUGCAACCUUAGGUCUCAUUCAGUCAGCCACGCAGGCAAAGCAGCAGUAGUUCAGCCCUCAUCUCUGUGGUCCCCACAGCACAGUAAUGGACACAGCAUCACGUGACACCAGGAUGAAAUGAGCCUGCUGGGUCUCACACUUCUACCGAAAGUCUUUUGGUGAGACUCAGGAAUUUGUGGUUGGCAAGCAUCUCAACUAGUUAAACUUGCAGGCCCUGGGCUUAAGAUAAUGGCUUAAGCUACCCUACCCAUGAUGCCUUACAUUACAAGGAGGCAUAUGCCUGAAACUUUCUCCUUCUAAGUCUCCCCUCAAACUCACUGGCCUGGCAUUUAUUCAAUCUCCAUUGAUGAACACUGGCAGGGGCUUUGGCUCUCAGUGCUCAACAUAUACAGCAAAUAGAAAAUCCUUCUGGAGUGACUUCACCAGAGUUCUUUUCCUAGUCACUGUAACUUCAUUGUAACUAAGUGCCUGACAGCAACUUGAGGGAGAUUUUUCUUUUAAGGUUUCAGAAGCAUACCACCCACCACAUCAGGAAAAGGCAAGCACAGUGGCUCAUCCUGAGAGGGUUGACAAAUGAAUGGCUUAUCUUGCUUGCUUAUAUGGUGCUGGACAGGAGGCAGAGGGCACAGCAUAAAACCAGAAGACAAGAAAAAUUCCAAAACCCUGCCUGUUCCUCCAGAUAGAUCCUGCACCCCAAUGUUUCACAACUUCCCAAAACAAUGCCACCAACUGAGAGCAAGUGGUCACAAAAAAUGGAAGACCUUCAGAAGCAAAACUUACUAGCCUGGAGUUAUAUUGGAAAUGCUACAACUAUUCUGGUAUCCUUAUGAAGUAGAUAAUCAUUCAGUUAAUUUUAGUAAUGUCUUCCAAAUUCCUCUGGGUUUAAAGUAAAGUCAAUUCUGUUUCUUAGAAUAAAACACCAUUGAAUAAACACCAACAA